RNAcentral lists this ribosomal RNA (966 nucleotides) under uncultured fungus. Its description in RNAcentral is "eukaryotic LSU rRNA". The stretch from base 317 to 966 matches the Rfam family "Eukaryotic large subunit ribosomal RNA", at positions 1 to 664 of the family's 3401-position model. Lineage: Eukaryota; Fungi. The record is from RNAcentral.
AUCGAUGAAGAACGCAGCGAAAUGCGAUAAGUAAUGCGAAUUGCAGAAUUCCAGUGAGUCAUCGAAUCUUUGAACGCACAUUGCGCCCUUUGGUAUUCCGAAGGGCAUGCCUGUUCGAGCGUCAUUAUCACCCCUCAAGCCCCUGGGCUUGAUGUUGGACGGUUUGGUGGAGCCUCCGGGCGUCACCCCUCCUAAAGACAAUGACGGCGGCCUGUUGGAACCCCCGGUACAUUGAGCUUCUUAACUGAGCACGUAUCGGAUCAAGGGAACCCAGGCUCCGGUCUUCUCCCUUCAUUGGGAAACUCCUUUCUAAGGUUGACCUCGGAUCAGGUAGGAAUACCCGCUGAACUUAAGCAUAUCAAUAAGCGGAGGAAAAGAAACCAACAGGGAUUGCCUCAGUAACGGCGAGUGAAGCGGCAACAGCUCAAAUUUGAAAUCUGGCCUCUUGGGGUCCGAGUUGUAAUUUGUAGAGGAUGUUUCGGGUACCGCUCCGGUUUAAAUUUCUUGGAACAGAAUGUCAAAGAGGGUGAGAAUCCCGUCUUGGACCGGUGGUAGGGCCUAUGUGAAACUCCUUCGACGAGUCGAGUUGUUUGGGAAUGCAGCUCAAAAUGGGUGGUAAAUUUCAUCUAAAGCUAAAUAUUGGCCAGAGACCGAUAGCGCACAAGUAGAGUGAUCGAAAGAUGAAAAGCACUUUGAAAAGAGAGUUAAACAGUAUGUGAAAUUGUUGAAAGGGAAGCGCUGGCAACCAGACUUGCGCGCGGCGGUUCCCCCUUCCUUUUGGUUGGGUUACUCCGCCGUGUCCAGGCCAAUAUCGGUUUUGGGGGUCGGUCAAAGGCGUUGGGAAUGUAUCUACCCUUCGGGCGUAGACUUAUAGCCCAGCGUGUCAUGCGACCUCCCGGGACCGAGGAACGCGCUUCGGCUCGGAUAUUGGCGUAAUGGUUGUCAGCGACCCGUCUUGAAACACGG